AUUUAGAUAGCAUUGGCUCACCGCAGAGACGUCGCCGGCUCGCCACCAUGAGCUACAGAGGUGGCGGGAGCAGCGAAGGGGCCGAGUGCUGUCGUAUGUCGUGCAGCGGCCACACCGCAGGUAGCCACUCACGGCAACUACGCGCACGCACGCACCGGUCGCCGUCGCGCCGUGAGCUUCGCCUGGCUGUGCACUGCCGCAACCACACGUGAGUUCUUCCGACACGCACCGCCCACAGUCGACCUGCGAGCCACACAUGCACUGCCGCGAAGCGUUGCUUGAUCCCCUCCAUGGACUCGUGCUCGCCAUCGCAGUCCGUCGCCCUGGCCACGGAGAGGGCCAAGAUCCAUGGAGCUGCUCGUGGGGUGAGCAUAUCGUCCUCGUGCUCCUCAAUUCUGCUGGGGUAUCGUUUGGGCUGGGUGGCAGAGAUGGCAAAUUCCUCCUCGGGUGUCUUAGGUUCGGUUCCUUUGCUUCACUCACUGUUUCUGGUUGUUGUGUGCUUCCUUGGCUUGUUUUGCCUGAAUUGAGCUUCUCUGGAUAGUAAUGAGAUUGAUGCUAACAUGUACUACUUCAGUACUUUACUUGUUUCUUAGUAAGAAUAGUGAUCAAAUUCUUGUAAUCCGAGGCAGCCUGGCUACUUGAAAAAUGUAACUUUUAUUAGUAUUGCUGUCUAGGUUGAUGGGUUGGUGCAUUUGUUGUACAUGACAGAGAAUUUCUAAUUUUGGUAGUUUGGUCGAUACAUUAUCUUUCCCUUUUGGAUGUUUGUGAAUUCUGACAUGUCCAAUGGGGAAACAAAUGCUCAAUUUAGUUAGCUUACCUUAAAUUCGGUUUUACCUGUUGAAUUAUCACAUUGUGUUUUAUCAUCAAUUUCUCACAGUUAUGCAACCCUGGCUACUGGACACUUGUAAAACUCUUGUUUCCUUUGUGCAGGGUGGUACACCUCCUAUAUUUUGAGAAAUAAAACUUAUGGUUAUAUGAUAUCAUCUAAGGUGAAACGUUGAAAGGGCUCUUGGAUUGUAUGCCUCGCUCAGGUUGGUGCGGUCUUAUAUUUCAAGAAAUAAAAUCUUGUGGUUAUAUGCUAUCAGUUAAUGUGAACCCGUGAAAGGCUGCUUGAAUUGUAUGCCUCGCUCAGGUAAUGAAUCCUUUGUGCAGAGAGCUCUUCUUGAUGCCCCCAUAAGUAAUGAAUUUGCUACACAGCAAAAAAAAAGUAGCUAUUUGUUUUAUGGGACCCUGCUUGCUUAUUGUAUUAAAAUGACGAUAUGGCUUUGUUUA
This is a non-coding RNA of Triticum urartu, 1272 nucleotides long. Lineage: Eukaryota; Viridiplantae; Streptophyta; Magnoliopsida; Poales; Poaceae. The record is from RefSeq and is a predicted model, not a curated record.